Molecule: ribosomal RNA, 253 nt
Filed under: uncultured bacterium
Lineage: Bacteria
Description: partial 16S ribosomal RNA
Rfam family: Bacterial small subunit ribosomal RNA
Source: RNAcentral
GACGUAGGGGGCCAGCGUUGUUCGGAAUUACUGGGUGUAAAGGGUUCGUAGGCGGUGCGGCAAGUUGGGAGUGAAAUCUCUGGGCUUAACCCAGAGGCUGCUUCCAAAACUGCUGUGCUUGAGUGUGGGAGAGGCGCGUGGAAUUGCAGGUGUAGCGGUGAAAUGCGUAGAUAUCUGCAGGAACACCCGUGGCGAAAGCGGCGCGCUGGACCACUACUGACGCUGAGGAACGAAAGCUAGGGGAGCAGACAGG